This 526-nucleotide ribosomal RNA is filed under the name uncultured bacterium. RNAcentral describes it as "bacterial SSU rRNA". It matches the Rfam family "Bacterial small subunit ribosomal RNA", at positions 776 to 1304 of the family's 1533-position model. The record is from RNAcentral.
CAAUAGAUACCCGGGUAGUCCUACGCCGUAAACGAUCGGAUACUAGCUGUUGGACGCAAGUUCAGGUGGCUAAGCGAAAGUGAUAAGUAUCCCACCUGGGGAGUACGAACGCAAGUUUGAAACUCAAAGGAAUUGACGGGGGCCCGCACAAGCGGUGGAGCAUGUGGUUUAAUUCGAUGAUACGCGAGGAACCUUACCAAGGCUUAAAUGCAGACUGACCGGUUUGGAAACAGACCUUCCGCAAGACAGUCUACAAGGUGCUGCAUGGUUGUCGUCAGCUCGUGCCGUGAGGUGUCAGGUUAAGUCCUAUAACGAGCGCAACCCCUGUUGCUAGUUGCCAGCGAGUCAUAUUCGGGAACUCUAGCAAGACUGCCAGUGCAAACUGUGAGGAAGGUGGGGAUGACGUCAAAUCAUCACGGCCCUUACGCCUUGGGCUACACACGUGCUACAAUGGCCGGUACAGAGAGCAGCCACCCCGGCGAGGGGGAGCGAAUCUAUAAAGCCGGUCACGAGUUCGGAUCGGAGU